RNAcentral lists this ribosomal RNA (148 nucleotides) under uncultured bacterium. RNAcentral's name for it is "partial 16S ribosomal RNA". It matches the Rfam family "Bacterial small subunit ribosomal RNA", at positions 384 to 524 of the family's 1533-position model. The record is from RNAcentral.
UGAUCCAGCCAUGCCGCGUGUGUGAAGAAGGUCUUCGGAUUGUAAAGCACUUUAAGUUGGGAGGAAGGGCAGUAAGCUAAUAUCUUGCUGUUUUGACGUUACCGACAGAAUAAGCACCGGCUAACUCUGUGCCAGCAGCCGCGGUAAU